CCUGGUUUUAGAUUCCAUCCGACAGAUGAAGAGAUCAUAAACCAUUAUCUUUCACACAGGGUCAUGAAUAGUAGCUUCACUGCAACAGCUAUAGGCGAAGUAGAUUUGAACAAGUGCGAACCUUGGGACUUACCAACAAAGUCGAAGAUGGGAGAGAAGGAAUGGUACUUCUUCUGCCAGAGAGAUAGGAAAUACCCGACAGGCAUGAGAACGAAUAGAGCAACAGAAGCCGGAUACUGGAAGGCCACUGGGAAGGA
This is a long non-coding RNA of Telopea speciosissima, 257 nucleotides long. RefSeq lists it as uncharacterized. The transcript has 2 exons. NCBI's taxonomy places the organism in Eukaryota, Viridiplantae, Streptophyta, Magnoliopsida, Proteales, Proteaceae. The record is from RefSeq and is a predicted model, not a curated record.